GUGACUCGGAUAGAUUGCAUUGUGCCUCUACCAAGCUUGGACUCCCUGUCAGUCUGGAGGAAGAGACACUAGAACCAGAUUGGUUCGCCACCACUAAUUUUGACCACAUGCCUCUUCCUCCUGAGCUGACCUUCCCAUUCUCCUGGUGCUUCUGAGCAUCGUGGAGACGGUGGUGGGGCGAGAGACAAAACUGAGGACUUAAGCCCGGGCCACAGCAUCUCAAGUCACACCGAGGGACUGCUCUGAAGAGGAGACGUUUAUCCAGGUGCAAGCACUGCAGCAAAGGGUCCCAGGUCCCAGGUCCCAGGUCCCAGGUCCCAGCCUUAGGACUGUGUCUGAACACAUCAGCAAAUAAAAACCCACAAAAUAGCCAUUCUAUGUGUGGAUAAUUGAGAAUCGACCAUCAACCCAGAGGCAGAUAGGGGUGGCUUCAGUGGACCACAAUGAACCA
Orcinus orca (killer whale) is the source of this 451-nucleotide long non-coding RNA. RefSeq lists it as uncharacterized. Lineage: Eukaryota; Metazoa; Chordata; Mammalia; Artiodactyla; Delphinidae. The record is from RefSeq and is a predicted model, not a curated record. The transcript is spliced from 3 exons.